CCUACGGGUGGCAGCAGUAGGGAAUAUUGCUCAAUGGGGGAAACCCUGAAGCAGCAACGCCGCGUGGAGGAUGAAGGUUUUCGGAUUGUAAACUCCUUUUGUUAGAGAAGAUAAUGACGGUAUCUAACGAAUAAGCACCGGCUAACUCCGUGCCAGCAGCCGCGGUAAUACGGAGGGUGCAAGCGUUACUCGGAAUCACUGGGCGUAAAGAGCGCGUAGGCGGGAUAGCAAGUCAGAUGUGAAAUCCUAGGGCUUAACCAUAGAACUGCAUUUGAAACUGUUAUUCUAGAGUAUGGGAGAGGUAGGUGGAAUUCUUGGUGUAGGGGUAAAAUCCGUAGAGAUCAAGAGGAAUACUCAUUGCGAAGGCGACCUGCUAGAACAUAACUGACGCUGGUGCGCGAAAGCGUGGGGAGCAAACAGGAUUAGAUACCCCGGUAGUC
RNAcentral lists this ribosomal RNA (440 nucleotides) under uncultured bacterium. RNAcentral's name for it is "partial 16S ribosomal RNA". It matches the Rfam family "Bacterial small subunit ribosomal RNA", at positions 338 to 795 of the family's 1533-position model. The record is from RNAcentral.